This 163-nucleotide ribosomal RNA is filed under the name Genista cf. spachiana AK-2011. RNAcentral describes it as "5.8S ribosomal RNA". It matches the Rfam family "5.8S ribosomal RNA". Rfam says of the family: 5.8S ribosomal RNA (5.8S rRNA) is a component of the large subunit of the eukaryotic ribosome. It is transcribed by RNA polymerase I as part of the 45S precursor that also contains 18S and 28S rRNA. Functionally, it is thought that 5.8S rRNA may be involved in ribosome translocation. Lineage: Eukaryota; Viridiplantae; Streptophyta; Magnoliopsida; Fabales; Fabaceae. RNAcentral also lists the same sequence under 1 other name. The record is from RNAcentral.
AAGACUCUCGGCAAUGGAUAUCUCGGCUCUUGCAUCGAUGAAGAACGUAGCGAAAUGCGAUACUUGGUGUGAAUUGCAGAAUCCCGUGAACCAUCGAGUCUUUGAACGCAAGUUGCGCCCGAAGCCAUUAGGCUGAGGGCACGCCUGCCUGGGUGUUGCACAU